CUAUUAAUCACUACCGUAUUAUUACUAUGCUUAACACUUGUUUAUCACUAAUUACUAUUACUAAAUGUUUAUCACUAUUACACUAACACAAAAGAUCGUCCAUCCUCCGGCUUAUAGUCGGAGGCUUACGGUAUAUUAGAGAGUUUAAGUUCGACUUCCGAUACCAAUACCGAUACUAACAACAUGUCAUGCGCAUGCUCUCUGCUCGCAAGAAGCACGAGGACAAGUGUAUUGCAAGUCACCACUACCGAAGU
This is a non-coding RNA of Paramuricea clavata, 254 nucleotides long. NCBI's taxonomy places the organism in Eukaryota, Metazoa, Cnidaria, Anthozoa, Malacalcyonacea, Plexauridae. The record is from the annotation of a GenBank genome assembly.